UACAUAGGGUGCAAGCGUUGUCCGGAAUUAUUGGGCGUAAAGAGCUCGUAGGCGGCCUGUCGCGUCGGCUGUGAAAACUCGGGGCUCAACCCCGAGCCUGCAGUCGAUACGGGCAGACUAGAGUGCUGUAGGGGAGACUGGAAUUCCUGGUGUAGCGGUGAAAUGCGCAGAUAUCAGGAGGAACACCGGUGGCGAAGGCGGGUCUCUGGGCAGUAACUGACGCUGAGGAGCGAAAGCGUGGGGAGCGAACAGG
This 253-nucleotide ribosomal RNA is filed under the name uncultured bacterium. Its description in RNAcentral is "partial 16S ribosomal RNA". It matches the Rfam family "Bacterial small subunit ribosomal RNA", at positions 524 to 776 of the family's 1533-position model. The record is from RNAcentral.